Fukomys damarensis (Damara mole-rat) is the source of this 332-nucleotide non-coding RNA. The record is from Rfam. Lineage: Eukaryota; Metazoa; Chordata; Mammalia; Rodentia; Bathyergidae.
GGAUAUGAGGGUGAUCUGGCUGUAACAUCUGUCACCAUAUUGAUUGCCAGGGUUGACUCAGCUGAUCUGGCUGGCUGGCGGGUGUCCCCUUCCCCCCUCACCUCUCCAUGUGCAGCCUCCUGAAGCUUUGGGCUCAAUGGAAGAAGAUGACCACCUCCCACCAUAGAAGAAAACUGGAAAGGCCAUACCAGUAGCUGAACUCUCCUGCUAGAACCGCCAAAUAAACACUUUGUCUAACUUAUUUAUUAGUUUAAACAGUUUUAGAGUGAAUGGGGAAGCACUAAGGUUUUUUACAUAUAAGAGCAUGUCAAAGAGCAAUCCUGUUACUUCUU